UGGAAGAAGAUGAAGAUGCUUACAAGAAACAGUUCUCUCAAUACAUAAAGAACAGUGUAACUCCAGACAUGAUGGAGGAGAUGUAUAAGAAAGCUCAUGCUGCUGUACCAGAGAAUCCGGUCUAUGAAAAGAAGCCCAAGAAAGAAGUUAAAAAGAAGAGGUGGAACCGUUCCAAAAUGUCCCUUGCUCAGAAGAAGGAUUGGGUAGCUCAAAAGAAGGCAAGCUUCCUCAGAGCUUAGGAGCGGGCUGCUGAGAGC
This 257-nucleotide long non-coding RNA is filed under the name Homo sapiens (human). Its description in RNAcentral is "non-protein coding lnc-SNX7-4:1". Lineage: Eukaryota; Metazoa; Chordata; Mammalia; Primates; Hominidae. The record is from RNAcentral.